Molecule: ribosomal RNA, 767 nt
Filed under: Bacillus sp. T2AF(2010)
Lineage: Bacteria; Bacillati; Bacillota; Bacilli; Caryophanales; Bacillaceae
Description: bacterial SSU rRNA
Rfam family: Bacterial small subunit ribosomal RNA
Source: RNAcentral
GUACCUGGCUCAGGACGAACGCUGGCGGCGUGCUAAUACAUGCAAGUCGAGCGGACAGAUGGGAGCUUGCUCCCUGAUGUUAGCGGCGGACGGGUGAGUAACACGUGGGUAACCUGCCUGUAAGACUGGGAUAACUCCGGGAAACCGGGGGCUAAUACCGGAUGGUUGUUUGAACCGCAUGGUUCAGACAUAAAAGGUGGCUUCGGCUACCACUUACAGAUGGACCCGCGGCGCAUUAGCUAGUUGGUGAGGUAACGGCUCACCAAGGCGACGAUGCGUAGCCGACCUGAGAGGGUGAUCGGCCACACUGGGACUGAGACACGGCCCAGACUCCUACGGGAGGCAGCAGUAGGGAAUCUUCCGCAAUGGACGAAAGUCUGACGGAGCAACGCCGCGUGAGUGAUGAAGGUUUUCGGAUCGUAAAGCUCUGUUGUUAGGGAAGAACAAGUGCCGUUCAAAUAGGGCGGCACCUUGACGGUACCUAACCAGAAAGCCACGGCUAACUACGUGCCAGCAGCCGCGGUAAUACGUAGGUGGCAAGCGUUGUCCGGAAUUAUUGGGCGUAAAGGGCUCGCAGGCGGUUUCUUAAGUCUGAUGUGAAAGCCCCCGGCUCAACCGGGGAGGGUCAUUGGAAACUGGGGAACUUGAGUGCAGAAGAGGAGAGUGGAAUUCCACGUGUAGCGGUGAAAUGCGUAGAGAUGUGGAGGAACACCAGUGGCGAAAGCGACUCUCUGGUCUGUAACUGACGCUGAGGAGCGAAAGCGUGG